This 292-nucleotide long non-coding RNA is filed under the name Brassica napus (rape). RNAcentral's name for it is "long non-coding RNA (BNAP_LNC011476)". The record is from RNAcentral. Lineage: Eukaryota; Viridiplantae; Streptophyta; Magnoliopsida; Brassicales; Brassicaceae.
UUGAUUGUGCGGGCUGGGAUUCAGAGACGUCUGGACUUGCGAUGCUACUGGUGCGGGCGUGUGGUGCAGAGACGUUUGUACCAUGCACGCUACUUGAGAGGGCAGGGGUACAGAGACAUACUGUACUAGCGACGCUACAUAUUAUAUAUCCAUAUGAGGAGAUGCGGGGUGUAUGGACUAGCUAUAUGCUAUCAUCGCAUUGUUUGGUUUGUGUGAUGUGCUAGGCGUCGUGUGUGUUCAUGUUAGUGCUAAACUUCCAUAGUGGGAGUUCUAUUUACUCAAGUCAGUGGUU